UCCCCAGCAGGGUCUUCUCUUCCUUACCUUUCUGUUUUGGAGUCCUGAGCCUCCUUGGAAGAGUCACUCAGCCCCUCUGACCUGUUUCUGCCUCUGGGUGAGGCUAGAAUUAACUUUUUUCAGAUAUUAAGCCAUUGAAUCCUCCCAGCAUUGUGAGACAUGCACAGAGGGAAGACGGUGUGAAGACACACAGGGAGAAGUCCUUGUGAAGACGGAGGAUUGGUCUGAGACUUCUACAAGCCCAGAAAUGCCCAAGAGAGCUGGGAAACCACCAGAAGCUAGGAGGAGGCCGGGAAGGAUUCCCAGGCAGGUUUCAGAUGGAUGGAUCAUAACCUUGCCGACAAUUUGAUUUUGGAUUUCUAGCCUCUAGAACAGAGAAACAAUAAAUCUCUGUAGUU
This is a long non-coding RNA of Orcinus orca (killer whale), 398 nucleotides long. RefSeq lists it as uncharacterized. Lineage: Eukaryota; Metazoa; Chordata; Mammalia; Artiodactyla; Delphinidae. The transcript has 3 exons. The record is from RefSeq and is a predicted model, not a curated record.